GCCGGGGUAGUCUAGUGGUAAGGCGCAAGCCUGGAAAGCUUGUGGGGGGAAACUCCCGCAAGGGUUCGAGUCCCUUCCCCGGCG
Molecule: transfer RNA, 84 nt
Filed under: Methanocella conradii HZ254
Lineage: Archaea; Methanobacteriati; Methanobacteriota; Methanomicrobia; Methanocellales; Methanocellaceae
Also listed under: 1 other name
Description: tRNA-Ser (GGA) (tRNA-Ser-GGA-1-1)
Rfam family: tRNA
About the family: Transfer RNA (tRNA) molecules are approximately 80 nucleotides in length.
Source: RNAcentral